AUUGAACGCUGGCGGCAUGCUUUACACAUGCAAGUCGAACGGCAGCGGGUCCUUCGGGAUGCCGGCGAGUGGCGAACGGGUGAGUAAUGCAUCGGAACGUACCCAGACGUGGGGGAUAACUACGCGAAAGCGUAGCUAAUACCGCAUACGCCCUGAGGGGGAAAGCGGGGGAUCUUCGGACCUCGCGCGAUUGGAGCGGCCGAUGUCGGAUUAGCUAGUUGGUGGGGUAAAGGCCUACCAAGGCGAUGAUCCGUAGCUGGUCUGAGAGGAUGAUCAGCCACACUGGGACUGAGACACGGCCCAGACUCCUACGGGAGGCAGCAGUGGGGAAUUUUGGACAAUGGGCGCAAGCCUGAUCCAGCCAUGCCGCGUGAGUGAAGAAGGCCUCGGUUGUAAGUA
RNAcentral lists this ribosomal RNA (399 nucleotides) under uncultured bacterium. RNAcentral describes it as "bacterial SSU rRNA". It matches the Rfam family "Bacterial small subunit ribosomal RNA", at positions 29 to 430 of the family's 1533-position model. The record is from RNAcentral.